UAAACUUUUACGGCUGAGCGUGAUUUGUAUUGAUUUUAUUAUUCCGUUAAAAAAUAUAGCUGUUAAAAUGUGGCUUUUAUGUAGUGUAGGAAGAAAAUAAUGACCGUCAGGACGGGCUGAACAUCUACUUCAAUAACAGCAGAAUUAAGGCUAAAAGAGUCUAGAAUAAGCAUAAAGUUCCAAGAAAAGCACCGGCUCCAGAACAAGAAACUGAUUAUCUUCAAUAAAGCAAUUCCCUGCCUUGAUGUGACUUAUUCUUUCCUGGGAUCCCUGAAAAUUAUAUUCUAUUCUUCAGAAGCAGGUUUUUUUGGUAUACAUAAUUUGAUAUGAGGAAUGCAGAAGUACAUAUUGUGAGAUGCUGCACAUCAUGUCUCAAACCUCAAAUUACUCUCCUGAAUAAUUCAAAGGCACCUGAAGGCAAUCAAUUAAUUAUCUUGAAUGUUUGCACUGGGCAUAACUUGAUUCGGGGGAAUAAUGUCAAGGAUUUGAAUGCCAUAGAAAUGAAAAAUAAAAUAAUGUUUAAAAAAUGAUUUAUGUUCCAGAAAUGUAAAGAAAUUAGUUCCAAUGCACCUUUCAUAUUGGAGGGUGUUAAAGAGGUCACACACUACCUGACUAAUAAAUAAUAAACACAUUGAGGGUAUGCAAUAAAAUAAAAUCAGCUGAGCCACCAUAAUAGUGGGAUAAUAGUCUCUGGGAAGGGAGUGUGACUGUGGGAUA
Molecule: long non-coding RNA, 717 nt
Organism: Xenopus laevis (African clawed frog)
Lineage: Eukaryota; Metazoa; Chordata; Amphibia; Anura; Pipidae
Exons: 3
Source: RefSeq, a predicted model, not a curated record